Molecule: ribosomal RNA, 323 nt
Filed under: uncultured Actinomycetes bacterium
Lineage: Bacteria; Bacillati; Actinomycetota; Actinomycetes
Description: bacterial SSU rRNA
Rfam family: Bacterial small subunit ribosomal RNA
Source: RNAcentral
GAUGAACGCUGGCGGCGUGCUUAACACAUGCAAGUCGAACGAUUAAAGCCCCUUCGGGGUGUAUAGAGUGGCGAACGGGUGAGUAACACGUGGGCAAUCUGCCCCUCACACCGGGAUAACUCAGGGAAACUUGAGCUAAUACCGGAUACUCCGGGAUGACCGCAUGGUCGACCCGGGAAAGCUCCGACGGUGAGGGAUGAGCCCGCGGCCCAUUAGCUUGUUGGUAGGGUAAUGGCCUACCAAGGCGACGAUGGGUAGCCGAGCUGAGAGGCUGAUCGGCCACACUGGGACUGAGACACGGCCCAGACACCUACGGGAGGCAG